This 471-nucleotide ribosomal RNA is filed under the name uncultured Methylobacteriaceae bacterium. RNAcentral describes it as "bacterial SSU rRNA". It matches the Rfam family "Bacterial small subunit ribosomal RNA", at positions 8 to 525 of the family's 1533-position model. Lineage: Bacteria; Pseudomonadati; Pseudomonadota; Alphaproteobacteria; Hyphomicrobiales; Methylobacteriaceae. The record is from RNAcentral.
AGAGUUUGAUCCUGGCUCAGGGCGAACGCUGGCGGCAGGCUUAACACAUGCAAGUCGAGCGGACCUUUCGGGGUCAGCGGCGGACGGGUGAGUAACGCGUGGGAACGUGCCUUCCGGUUCGGAAUAACCCUGGGAAACUAGGGCUAAUACCGGAUACGCCCUUUUGGGGAAAGGUUUACUGCCGGAAGAUCGGCCCGCGUCUGAUUAGCUAGUUGGUGGGGUAACGGCCUACCAAGGCGACGAUCAGUAGCUGGUCUGAGAGGAUGAUCAGCCACACUGGGACUGAGACACGGCCCAGACUCCUACGGGAGGCAGCAGUGGGGAAUAUUGGACAAUGGGCGCAAGCCUGAUCCAGCCAUGCCGCGUGAGUGAUGAAGGCCUUAGGGUUGUAAAGCUCUUUUAUCCGGGACGAUAAUGACGGUACCGGAGGAAUAAGCCCCGGCUAACUUCGUGCCAGCAGCCGCGGUAAUA